Non-coding RNA from Bifidobacterium vansinderenii, 58 nucleotides. NCBI's taxonomy places the organism in Bacteria, Bacillati, Actinomycetota, Actinomycetes, Bifidobacteriales, Bifidobacteriaceae. The record is from Rfam.
CGUAUCAUUGUGCUUCGCCAUAGAGCGGGGCGAUAAGUCCGGAAAGGAAUGAUAUGUC